This 468-nucleotide ribosomal RNA is filed under the name uncultured bacterium. RNAcentral describes it as "partial 16S ribosomal RNA". It matches the Rfam family "Bacterial small subunit ribosomal RNA", at positions 28 to 507 of the family's 1533-position model. The record is from RNAcentral.
GACGAACGCUGGCGGCGUGCUUAACACAUGCAAGUCGAACGGAAAGGCCCUGCUUUUGUGGGGUGCUCGAGUGGCGAACGGGUGAGUAACACGUGAGUAACCUGCCCUUGACUUUGGGAUAACUUCAGGAAACUGGGGCUAAUACCGGAUAGGAGCUCCUGCUGCAUGGUGGGGGUUGGAAAGUUUCGGCGGUUGGGGAUGGACUCGCGGCUUAUCAGCUUGUUGGUGGGGUAGUGGCUUACCAAGGCUUUGACGGGUAGCCGGCCUGAGAGGGUGACCGGCCACAAUGGGAAUGAGAUACGGGCCAGAAUCCUACGGGAGGGAACAGUGGGGAAUAUUGCACAAUGGGCGGAAGCCUGAUGCAGCAACGCCGCGUGCGGGAUGACGGCCUUCGGGUUGUAAACCGCUUUCGCCCGUGACGAAGCGUGAGUGGCGGUAAUGGGUAAAGAAGCACCGGCUAACUACGUG